Ostrinia nubilalis (European corn borer) is the source of this 404-nucleotide long non-coding RNA. RefSeq lists it as uncharacterized. The transcript has 3 exons. The record is from RefSeq and is a predicted model, not a curated record. NCBI's taxonomy places the organism in Eukaryota, Metazoa, Arthropoda, Insecta, Lepidoptera, Crambidae.
AUGUUGUGUCUUAUAUCUCAAAUUGCACCAAUCCCGGCCUGCAUGUGGUCCCCGCUGGUUCGGGCAAGUUCGCUGAACGCACGUGGUAAAAAAACACAGAUCUUAAGCUGUGGCGACAUUUGCCUCCAGCGGGUUUCUAGCCUGUGACCACAGCUGGCGUUGUAAGUGAACCACCAAGUAGGUGUUCCAAGAGUGAUUCAAUACCGCAGGCCUGGAGAUGCCGCAAUAAGACAAGUCGGUCUCGGAUGACACAUCCUCCGUGCUGUUUUACAUCCAGCCAUCGAAGAUAGGUGCUUUCUCAGAAUGUCGACGGCCGACGGCGUGUGAAACUUUCAAGAAGGAAAACCGAGAAGAGAGUGGAAGAGGAAAUCGAGGAUUCGAUUGCUGGUUGGGACAUAAAGUAA